Molecule: long non-coding RNA, 206 nt
Filed under: Medicago truncatula (barrel medic)
Lineage: Eukaryota; Viridiplantae; Streptophyta; Magnoliopsida; Fabales; Fabaceae
Description: lncRNA gene50136
Source: RNAcentral
CCUUGGGGUACCCACUUUUGUGAACGGAGUGAGCGCUAGCCAAAAAUUAUAUAAGCCACACGCGCGCGACGCCAUCGGCCGGGCUCGAUUUGCUGCUCCGAGAUUUCCGCACGCGGAGGACCAAGUCUCACACAUUUUUCACACGCGUAGAGAGCUCGGGAAUGAGAUUCUUCACUCCAAAACCGAGAAUCGAAUCCUCUUCUCUG